AGUAUUAGGCAAUUUGCUUGUCAACCAACUUCCCCUCGCCAUUUGCACAAAUAAAGGCUUCCAAAGCAAAGUCGUAUUCCUCUGAAACCACGAGACAAACCAGAAAAGAAUACGGAGCGCAACGAUACGCAGUACGAUCGUCAAUCACCUUCCCGUCACCACUCGCACAGCAAAAGGCCUCCAGAAGGAGGCCUUUUUUUUCUUUUACGAAUCCUAGCUUCUGGAAAGGUGCACGGCCGAGGUGGCACGAACAGGAUCAAUCGUGAGAGGUUUCCGGAAGACGGCAGCGGGAAUUUGCAUCAAGCGAUAUCGGUCUCAAAGGCCGAUGCGGCACAAGCACGACGUUCCUGAGAAGAACGAGAUCCGAGUAGACGCGAGAGGGAGAAAAGAUCUUCAUUCCCAUAUCCGGCGAGAACGAGAUCGCCUGGAGGCACGGCAGCUGCGCCGCAGGAGCCAGCAAAAGCGCAUCGAUAUUGGUGAUCCCAACCAGCAAGGCAGCUGGCGUUUCGCUACCGAAAUAGGGAGCCAUUUGGAGUCAAGACCUUGCACGCAAUCAAGCCGGGGUUCCCAAUCCCCUCGUCACGCGGUGUAGUUGGAGAGCGCAGGUAGGAGGCACGAUGCAGUUGCUGACGAUCCGGCGAACGUGAGUGCUAGCUUUAAGAAAGUGAAGAGAAGAUGAAAGAAGGCAGGGAAUGCAAAGUGCUUAGGAGCGUAGGGUGACCAGGAUAAAAUGUUGACUAGCCGGACCGACUAAUCCCCCUUUUUCUACGGAAAGGUCGUUUCACAACAACUGGAAUAUAAAUAAUGGAAUAUUGCAGAAAAUA
Molecule: long non-coding RNA, 824 nt
Organism: Armigeres subalbatus
Lineage: Eukaryota; Metazoa; Arthropoda; Insecta; Diptera; Culicidae
Exons: 4
Source: RefSeq, a predicted model, not a curated record